Molecule: long non-coding RNA, 832 nt
Filed under: Zonotrichia albicollis (white-throated sparrow)
Lineage: Eukaryota; Metazoa; Chordata; Aves; Passeriformes; Passerellidae
Description: lncRNA (ENSZALG00000004418.1)
Source: RNAcentral
GUAAUUAACCAGAUAAAUGCUUGGUGUCUGUCUCACUCUGGCCAUCCUACAGAGUGGCACGUGAAGAGCUGCAGUGCUGUCGAUAACUUGGCCCUCGGCCUUCACCCAGCUCUGCCAGCGUGGAGAGCUACUCUGAUUGACUGAUUUCCUAGAGAAAAGCAUCAAGCCAGGACUUCUGCAAAAGACAGGCACAGAUCCUCCCCUCCCUUUAGGGGUAGGGGCUGGAUUAGAGUCGGGAAGAAUGGGAACAGCAGAAAUCGUCCUUACAGGAGAAGGAGGAAACUAACAGUCUUGCAUCUCAGACCUGUGGAGUGGGAAGUCACGCAGGCAGCCCAAAGGCACCACAGCCAGAAGAGAAACAGGAGGAGGAUGUGGAAAUAAUUGGAAAUCCCUGGGUUCCAGAAAGUCAGCGGAGAACAUGCCAGCACCCUUAAGCUAAGGAGGGACCUGGGAGAGGGCGCAGUUUGCAUGUUUGGAAGGAGAGAGGGAAGUGCGUGCUAAGGCGGCAGUGUGAGGGUCUGUGAACUGCAGGAGAGGCAUUCGAGGUUCAGAGAAUGUGAAUCCCACAGUGUGACAUGAAGGAAACACUGAUUUGCACAGUGUUGUGGAUCUUCCUAAGAAGCUGCAUGAUUAAGAUCAGAGUCAAGAACACAACUGUGCAGAUCUCAACCACUGGGACCAUUGCUGUGCACUGAGAUAACCAAAAAAGAGCUUGAAGAGAUUUUUGACUGAAAUCAGUGAUUUAAAAGAAAAGAGUGGAUGCCCUUAAACACUUUUUCCCUGAAGGACUCUAAAUGUUGUGGUGAUUGCUGUAUAACCUGACUGGCACUGU